GCUAGUUGGUAAGGUAACGGCUUACCAAGGCGACGAUCAGUAGCCGACCUGAGAGGGUGAUCGGCCACAUUGGAACUGAGACACGGUCCAAACUCCUACGGGAGGCAGCAGUGGGGAAUAUUGCACAAUGGGCGAAAGCCUGAUGCAGCAACGCCGCGUGAGUGAUGAAGGCCUUCGGGUCGUAAAACUCUGUCCUCAAGGAAGAUAAUGACGGUACUUGAGGAGGAAGCCCCGGCUAACUACGUGCCAGCAGCCGCGGUAAUACGUAGGGGGCUAGCGUUAUCCGGAUUUACUGGGCGUAAAGGGUGCGUAGGCGGUCUUUCAAGUCAGGAGUGAAAGGCUACGGCUCAACCGUAGUAAGCUCUUGAAACUGGGAGACUUGAGUGCAGGAGAGGAGAGUGGAAUUCCUAGUGUAGCGGUGAAAUGCGUAGAUAUUAGGAGGAACACCAGUUGCGAAGGCGGCUCUCUGGACUGUAACUGACGCUGAGGCACGAAAGCGUGGGGAGCAAACAGGAUUAGAUACCCUGGUAGUCCACGCUGUAAACGAUGAGUACUAGGUGUCGGGGGUUACCCCCUUCG
RNAcentral lists this ribosomal RNA (579 nucleotides) under uncultured bacterium. RNAcentral describes it as "bacterial SSU rRNA". It matches the Rfam family "Bacterial small subunit ribosomal RNA", at positions 244 to 842 of the family's 1533-position model. The record is from RNAcentral.